CCUACGGGGGGCAGCAGUGGGGAAUAUUGGGCAAUGGAGGCAACUCUGACCCAGCAACGCCGCGUGAGUGAUGAAGGUCUUCGGAUUGUAAAACUCUUUAAGUGGGGACGAAGAAAGUGACUGUACCCACAGAAUAAGCCUCGGCUAACUACGUGCCAGCAGCCGCGGUAAUACGUAGGAGGCAAGCGUUAUCCGGAAUGACUGGGCGUAAAGGGUGCGUAGGUGGUUCGGCAAGUUAGUAGCGUAAUUCCGGGGCUCAACCUCGGAACUACUACUAAAACUGUUGGGCUUGAGUGCAGGAGGGGCAUAUGGAAUUCCUAGUGUAGCGGUGGAAUGCGUAGAUAUUAGGAAGAACACCAGUGGCGAAGGCGAUAUGCUGGACUGUAACUGACACUGAGGCACGAAAGCGUGGGGAGCAAACAGGAUUAGAUA
RNAcentral lists this ribosomal RNA (432 nucleotides) under uncultured bacterium. Its description in RNAcentral is "bacterial SSU rRNA". It matches the Rfam family "Bacterial small subunit ribosomal RNA", at positions 338 to 784 of the family's 1533-position model. The record is from RNAcentral.